CCGGCUCCCAUGCCGCCUCGGCAGAAGCAACCAGCUACAAUGUCUCAGCAAGCGUGGCGGCUAGCGCAAAUAUAUUCGGUGAAGAAACCGGCUGCUGUGCCUCAGCAGCAGAAGCAACCAACUGCCAUGCCACAGACGCCUUAGCAAGUGUGGCAUCCAGCCCAAAUUCACCCAGCAGCAGAAGCAACCGGCCCCCAUUCCUCAGCAAGUGUGGCAUCCCGCUUCAAUGCCGCAGAAACAACCUACUGCCAUGCCUCAGCACCAGAAGCCUCAGCAAGUGUGGCAUCCAGCUCUGAUGCAAAAGCAGCCGGACGCUGAUCCUAAGCAACGUCAGCAAGUGUGUUAUAAACCUCCAAUUUCAAAUGCCGCAGAAUCAACCGGCCCCCAUUCCCCAAAAAGUGUGGCAUCCAUCUCCAAUACCUCCGCAGCAGAUGCAACUGACUGCCAUGCCCCAACAAGUGUGACAUCUGGUUUAAAUGCCCCAGCAACAAAAGCCACCGGCCACUGAGCCUCGGCGGCAGACUCAACCGACAGCCUUGCCUUAGCAAAUGUGGCGUCCAGCUUGAAUGCAGCAGAAACAACCGACUGCCAUGCCUCAGAAGCAAGUGUGGCAUUCAGCCCAAAUUUCCAAAAGCAGCAGAAUCAUUCGGCCCCUACGCUCCAGCAAAUGUGUGGCAUCCAGCUCCGACGCAAAAGCAGCUGGACGCUGAUCCUAAGCAGGCUCCGCUAGUGUGGUAUCCAGCUCUUAUGCCCCAGCAGCAGAAGCAACAGACUGCCAUGCCUCAGCAAGUCUAACAUCCAGCCCAAAUGCCCCAGAAGCAACUGGCCCCAUGUCUCAGCAGGAGCACUACAAAAGCACUGAAGAUGGUGCCACUGGUAGCUCUCAGGCCAUUAUCGUUGAACAGUCAGUUCCCAUCCCAAUCCGUUCCUACAGUUCCAAAUCGCACUACGAGAAUGGCAAAACUGUCUUCUCCCAAACCCGCUACACUCCUGGGAACAUUGUAUGUUAACAGUGGAAAAGCUCCCAAUGACAGUGAUGUUGGCAUAUUUGAACCAAGCACAUACCCACCACUAGUAAAGGAUCCUACAAGGAAAAUCUAAUGGUGGCUUCAUCCUUUAGAAGCUGAUGGUUUCAGUCAUGCUUUUGUUUUGACCAGGAAGUUGCCGGUGCUCUAGCUACUCUUGCAUGUUUUAAUCAAUAAAAAUGUG
Salvelinus fontinalis (brook trout) is the source of this 1209-nucleotide long non-coding RNA. RefSeq lists it as uncharacterized. The record is from RefSeq and is a predicted model, not a curated record. The transcript is spliced from 3 exons. NCBI's taxonomy places the organism in Eukaryota, Metazoa, Chordata, Actinopteri, Salmoniformes, Salmonidae.